UGGGCGAGAAAAAUGUGAGUUUGCCUCAAGUUUUUAUUAGGGGCAAGCAUGUGGGAGGAGCCGAGGUCAUCAAACAGCUCUUUGAAGCUGGAGAAUUGGUCAAGAUUCUCGAGGGGUUCCCGGUUCGGGAACCCGGGUUUGUCUGUGAGGGUUGUGGGGAUGUAAGGUUUGUUCCUUGUAUGACUUGCAGUGGGAGCAGGAAGGUGUUUGAUGAAGAUGAAGAAGUCUUGAAGAGGUGCUUAGACUGCAAUGAGA
Molecule: unclassified non-coding RNA, 255 nt
Filed under: Hevea brasiliensis (rubber tree)
Lineage: Eukaryota; Viridiplantae; Streptophyta; Magnoliopsida; Malpighiales; Euphorbiaceae
Source: RNAcentral